RNAcentral lists this ribosomal RNA (476 nucleotides) under uncultured organism. RNAcentral describes it as "partial 16S ribosomal RNA". It matches the Rfam family "Bacterial small subunit ribosomal RNA", at positions 333 to 800 of the family's 1533-position model. The record is from RNAcentral.
ACACUCCUGCGGGAGGCAGCAGUGGGGAAUUUUGGACAAUGGGCGAAAGCCUGAUCCAGCAAUGCCGCGUGCAGGAUGAAGGCCUUCGGGUUGUAAACUGCUUUUGUACGGAACGAAAAAGCUCCUUCUAAUACAGGGGGCCCAUGACGGUACCGUAAGAAUAAGCACCGGCUAACUACGUGCCAGCAGCCGCGGUAAUACGUAGGGUGCGAGCGUUAAUCGGAAUUACUGGGCGUAAAGCGUGCGCAGGCGGUUAUGUAAGACAGAUGUGAAAUCCCCGGGCUCAACCUGGGAACUGCAUUUGUGACUGCAUGGCUAGAGUACGGUAGAGGGGGAUGGAAUUCCGCGCGUAGCAGUGAAAUGCGUAGAUAUGCGGAGGAACACCGAUGGCGAAGGCAAUCCCCUGGACCUGUACUGACGCUCAUGCACGAAAGCGUGGGGAGCAAACAGGAUUAGAUACCCUUGUAGUCCCAUGA